GCGGGUGGUGAGGGGGCUGCUGCUGCUGGAGGCGGCGGGGCUGCUCGGCGCUCUCCUGCUCUACCGCGCCAUGGACCGCAGCCAAGACUUCAGAUACACAAUGCAGAAGAGGUUUCCAUCAAUUCUGGAAGUGUAUUACAAAUCCAAUGAGUGGUCUGGAAUUCAUGGCAUAAGGGAGAAUGACCAAAUGACAUGGUUAAGCAGCAAGAACUAAACCCUCUGUGCCUGAACUGUUUCUUCUUUUUGAUGAUGCUUUUCACAUCCCUAUUGUGAAGCCAC
Molecule: long non-coding RNA, 279 nt
Organism: Gymnogyps californianus (California condor)
Lineage: Eukaryota; Metazoa; Chordata; Aves; Accipitriformes; Cathartidae
Exons: 4
Source: RefSeq, a predicted model, not a curated record